This 420-nucleotide ribosomal RNA is filed under the name uncultured eukaryote. Its description in RNAcentral is "bacterial SSU rRNA". It matches the Rfam family "Eukaryotic small subunit ribosomal RNA", at positions 592 to 1013 of the family's 1831-position model. The record is from RNAcentral.
CAAUAGCAUAUAUUAAAGUUGUUGCAGUUAAAAAGCUCGUAGUUGGAUUUCUGGUAUGAUGCACCUCUUCCGCCUCGAUUACGAGUGUGUGUAAGAGCGCGCGUCUGCCAUCCAUUUGCAGAAUGUGUCUACCCUUUAUUGGGCCGGAUAUGUGAUGUAAAUCUUUACUUGAAAAAUUAGAGUGUUUAAAGCAGGCAUUUGCUAUGAAUACAUUAGCAUGGAAUAAUAAGAUAUGACUUUGGUCUAUUUUGUUGGUUUGCACUCCAAAGUAAUGAUUAAUAGGAUAGUUGGGGGUAUUCGUAUUCAAUUGUCAGAGGUGAAAUUCUUGGAUUUAUGGAAGACGAACUACUGCGAAAGCAUUUACCAAGGAUGUUUUUCAUUAAUCAAGAACGAAAGUUAGGGGAUCGAAGACGAUUAGAU